GAUGAACGCUGGCGGCGUGCCUAAUACAUGCAAGUCGAGCGAACAGAUGAGGAGCUUGCUCCUCUGACGUUAGCGGCGGACGGGUGAGUAACACGUGGAUAACCUACCUAUAAGACUGGGAUAACUUCGGGAAACCGGAGCUAAUACCGGAUAAUAUAUUGAACCGCAUGGUUCAAUAGUGGAAGACGGUUUUGCUGUCACUUAUAGAUGGAUCCGCGCCGCAUUAGCUAGUUGGUAAGGUAACGGCUUACCAAGGCAACGAUGCGUAGCCGACCUGAGAGGCUGAUCGGCCACACUGGAACUGAGACACGGUCCAGACUCCUACGGGAGGCAGCAGUAGGGAAUCUUACGCAAUGGGCGAAAGCCUGACGGAGCAACGCCGCGUGAGUGAUGAAGGUCUUCGGAUCGUAAAACUCUGUUAUUAGGGAAGAACAAAUGUGUAAGUAACUAUGCACGUCUUGACGGUACCUAAUCAGAAAGCCACGGCUAACUACGUG
Molecule: ribosomal RNA, 497 nt
Filed under: uncultured bacterium
Lineage: Bacteria
Description: partial 16S ribosomal RNA
Rfam family: Bacterial small subunit ribosomal RNA
Source: RNAcentral